This 528-nucleotide long non-coding RNA is filed under the name Mustela putorius furo (domestic ferret). RNAcentral's name for it is "lncRNA (ENSMPUG00000029781.1)". The record is from RNAcentral. Lineage: Eukaryota; Metazoa; Chordata; Mammalia; Carnivora; Mustelidae.
UGAAAAAGCUCUCAGAGCUGCAAAUCAGCCACUGUGGGGACUUGAAGCUUGCUAUAGGGCCUAGAGGAAGGUGACUCAUUCUGGACAGAGUGAUGUAGAAAAGCUUCCCGGAGGAGAUGGUAUUUGCCAUGGGCCUUAUAGGCAGAAUAGGAGAGGAUGGGUGGAAAGAGGACCCACAUCUCAGGAGUGGUGCGAACCAGGGUAAAGCAAAAAUCAUGUGCGUGGGCCAAGUUGUGAGAGGUGACUUUGGAGAAGGCUGCAUAUGUUGAUGGUGAUUAUCUCUGGGUGCUAGAGUUUCUCGGGUAAUGUUUACUUUUCUCUUUAUCCUGUUCUAUGUUGGUUGAAGUAUUUAUAGCAAACACAUGUUAUUUAUAUAAUGGAUAAAAUGUUCUUUGCGAAAAGAAAAAAAGAAAAGCUAUUUGUGUUCUGAUACCUAAAAAAUUAAAACCUAGGGGAAAGUAGCAGAACCGUUCAAAGAACCCCCCCCCCCAUACCCCCUCACCCAGGUUCACUUAUUUUGAACAUCAG